UACGUAGGGUGCGAGCGUUGUCCGGAAUUACUGGGCGUAAAGAGCUCGUAGGUGGUUUGUCGCGUUGUUCGUGAAAACUCACAACUCAAUUGUGGGCGUGCGGGCGAUACGGGCAGACUGGAGUACUGCAGGGGAGACUGGAAUUCCUGGUGUAGCGGUGGAAUGCGCAGAUAUCAGGAGGAACACCGGUGGCGAAGGCGGGUCUCUGGGCAGUAACUGACGCUGAGGAGCGAGAGCGUGGGGAGCGAACAGG
RNAcentral lists this ribosomal RNA (253 nucleotides) under uncultured bacterium. RNAcentral's name for it is "partial 16S ribosomal RNA". It matches the Rfam family "Bacterial small subunit ribosomal RNA", at positions 524 to 776 of the family's 1533-position model. The record is from RNAcentral.